Molecule: long non-coding RNA, 1035 nt
Filed under: Salmo salar (Atlantic salmon)
Lineage: Eukaryota; Metazoa; Chordata; Actinopteri; Salmoniformes; Salmonidae
Description: lncRNA (ENSSSAG00000110776.1)
Source: RNAcentral
GUGUGUGUGUGUGUGUGUGUGUGUGUGUGUGUGUGUGUGUGUGUGUGUGUGUGUGUGUGUGUGUGUGUGUGUGUGUGUGUGUGUGUGUGUGUGUGUGUGUGUGUGUGUGUGUGUGUUGUUAAGUUCAUCUUGAAUGGAUAUAAGAGUUCCGGGACCUGUUGAAAUGAAAAUGUUGUACUGAGAGAGAGAGAGAGAGAGAGAGAGAGAGAGAGAGAGAGAGAGAGAGAUGGAGGGUGAGACAGAGAGAGAGAGAGAGAGAGAGAGAGAGAGAGAGAGAUGGAGGGUGAGACAGAGAGAGAGACAGAGAGAGACAGAGAGAUGGAGGGUGAGACAGAGAGAGAGACAGAGAGAGACAGAGAGAUGGAGGGUGAGACAGAGAGAGAGACAGAGAGAGACAGAGAGAGAGACAGAGAGAUGGAGGGUGAGACAGAGAGAGAGAGAGACAGAGAGAGAGAGAUGGAGGGUGAGACAGAGAGAGAGAGAGAGAGACAGAGAGACAGAGAGAGAGAGAGAGAGAGAGAUGGAAGGUGAGACAGAGAGAGAGAGAGAGAGAGAGAGAGAGAGAGAGAGAGAGACUGCAAGAGAGAUGGAGGGUGAGACAGAGAGAGAGAGAGAGGAAGCGAAUGGUCAUUCAGGGAAUUUCAUCACUUCUGUGAAGUCACUCAGUUUCCUGUUAAAGUCGUGACUGCUGCCAUUUGGCACACACACACACACACACACACACACACACACACACACACACACACACACACACACACACACUGUUACUAAGAGCAGCUCUUAAGACAGCACACUGUGACAGUCUGAAAGCCUUACAUGUCCAUUAAACACAUGCAGUACUAACUAGCUGUGUUCUUUAGCCGCUAUUCAAUCAAUUUCUUAUAGUGGAUUUUCUGGAUCGUGUUUGUAAUCAUGACAGUUCGAGGAAUGAUAGUCAUGACGUGCAUUGACAUGUUGCAAUGGAUUUUGGGGGGGAAAUAACCAAUCACGAUGAGGCGUUGCCAGCUGUGAACUCUAUGGCACGCUUCGUCAGGC